Paramuricea clavata is the source of this 251-nucleotide non-coding RNA. Lineage: Eukaryota; Metazoa; Cnidaria; Anthozoa; Malacalcyonacea; Plexauridae. The record is from the annotation of a GenBank genome assembly.
AAAAAAAGCCGAACACAAUUUUGAAACUGACGUCUUUAGCUAUGUCCUGUGAAAAUUUGAGAAAAAUUCGUUAAAACCCGCAGGAGCACAACUCGCUUGAAAAUCAGUAAUUGCCGUAAAAUUCUUCGGGAGAAAAUUGAAUUUGAAUAUUACAUUUUCAAUGUUUUUCUUAUUGCAAGCGAAAUGUAUUUUAUUAAAUAACUCUGCGAGUUUUCAACAUUUUUCGUCCAAACUUGGUCAGAUAGUAGAAC